AGUGAACGCUGGCGGUAGGCCUAACACAUGCAAGUCGAACGGCAGCACAGUAAGAGCUUGCUCUUACGGGUGGCGAGUGGCGGACGGGUGAGGAAUACAUCGGAAUCUACUUUUUCGUGGGGGGUAACGUAGGGAAACUUACGCUAAUACCGCAUACGACCUACGGGUGAAAGCAGGGGAUCUUCGGACCUUGCGCGAUUGAAUGAGCCGAUGUCGGAUUAGCUAGUUGGCGGGGUAAAGGCCCACCAAGGCGACGAUCCGUAGCUGGUCUGAGAGGAUGAUCAGCCACACUGGAACUGAGACACGGUCCAGACUCCUACGGGAGGCAGCAGUGGGGAAUAUUGGACAAUGGGCGCAAGCCUGAUCCAGCCAUACCGCGUGGGUGAAGAAGGCCUUCGGGUUGUAAAGCCCUUUUGUUUGGAAAGAAAAGCAGCAGGUUAAUACCCCGCUGUUCUGACGGUACCCAAAGAAUAAGCACCGGCUAACUUCGUG
Molecule: ribosomal RNA, 492 nt
Filed under: uncultured bacterium
Lineage: Bacteria
Description: partial 16S ribosomal RNA
Rfam family: Bacterial small subunit ribosomal RNA
Source: RNAcentral